Molecule: microRNA precursor, 131 nt
Filed under: Corchorus capsularis
Lineage: Eukaryota; Viridiplantae; Streptophyta; Magnoliopsida; Malvales; Malvaceae
Description: pre miRNA MIR394
Rfam family: MIR394 microRNA precursor family
Source: Rfam by way of RNAcentral
CUUACAGAGUUCAUUGGCAUUCUGUCCACCUCCUGAUCAUCUUCAUAGAAAUUAAAAUAUGAUCUUUAAUUAAUUUCUUUCACUUGUCAUCUUUCAUGGAGGUGGGCAUACUGCCAACAGUGCUCUGUUGG